RNAcentral lists this unclassified non-coding RNA (20 nucleotides) under Dictyostelium discoideum. Lineage: Eukaryota; Evosea; Eumycetozoa; Dictyosteliales; Dictyosteliaceae. The record is from RNAcentral.
UACUUUGAGAGUUGAAGGUA